GAUGAACGCUGGCGGCGUGCCUAAUACAUGCAAGUCGAGCGAACAGAUAAGGAGCUUGCUCCUUUGACGUUAGCGGCGGACGGGUGAGGAACACGUGUGUAACCUACCUAUAAGACUGGAAUAACGCCGGGAAACCGGGGCUAAUGCCGGAUAACAUGUAGAACCGCAUGGUUCUAAAGUGAAAGAUGGUUUUGCUAUCACUUAUAGAUGGACCCGCGCCGUAUUAGCUAGUGGGUAAGGUAACGGCUUACCAAGGCAACGAUACGUAGCCGACCUGAGAGGGUGAUCGGCCACACUGGAACUGAGACACGGUCCAGACUCCUACGGGAGGCAGCAGUGGGGAAUAUUCGACAAUGGGCGAAAGCCUGACGGAGCAACGCCGCGUGAGUGAUGAAGGUCUUCGGAUCGUAAAACUCUGUUAUUAGGGAAGAACAACUGUGUAAGUAACUGUGGACGUCUUGACGGUACCUAAUCAGAAAGCCACGGCUAACUACGUG
Molecule: ribosomal RNA, 497 nt
Filed under: uncultured bacterium
Lineage: Bacteria
Description: partial 16S ribosomal RNA
Rfam family: Bacterial small subunit ribosomal RNA
Source: RNAcentral